This 557-nucleotide ribosomal RNA is filed under the name uncultured archaeon. Its description in RNAcentral is "bacterial SSU rRNA". It matches the Rfam family "Archaeal small subunit ribosomal RNA", at positions 1 to 549 of the family's 1478-position model. The record is from RNAcentral.
CUCGAGGCCAGAUCUUUCCGGUUGAUCCCGCCGGACCUGACUGCUAUCGGAUUGAUACUAAGCCAUGCGAGUCUUUGUAGCAAUACAAGGCAGACGGCUCAGUAACACGUAGUCAAUCUACCCUAUGGACGGGGAUAACCUCGGGAAACUGAGAAUAAUACCCGAUAGAUCAUUAUGCCUGGAAUGGUUUAUGGUCGAAAUGAUUUAUCGCCGUAGGAUGGGACUGCGGUCUAUCAUCUUGUUGGUGAGGUAAUGGCCCACCAAGGCUAUAACAGAUACGGGCUCUGAGAGGAGAAGCCCGGAGAUGGGUACUGAGACACGGACCCAGGCCCUAUGGGGCGCAGCAGGCGAGAAAACUUUGCAAUGUGCGAAAGCACGACAAGGUUAAUCCGAGUGUUUUAUGCUAAAGAAAUCUUUUGUCAGUCCUAAAAGCACUGAUGAAUAAGGGGUGGGCAAGUUCUGGUGUCAGCCGCCGCGGUAAAACCAGCACCUCAAGUGGUCAGGAGGAUUAUUGGGCCUAAAGCAUCCGUAGCCGGCCGUGUAAGUUUUCGGUUAAA